This 497-nucleotide ribosomal RNA is filed under the name uncultured bacterium. RNAcentral describes it as "partial 16S ribosomal RNA". It matches the Rfam family "Bacterial small subunit ribosomal RNA", at positions 28 to 507 of the family's 1533-position model. The record is from RNAcentral.
GACGAACGCUGGCGGCGUGCCUAAUACAUGCAAGUCGAGCGAUGAAGAUUGGUGCUUGCACCAAUUUGAAGAGCAGCUAACGGGUGAGUAACGCGUGGGGAAUCUGCCUUUGAGCGGGGGACAACAUUUGGAAACGAAUGCUAAUACCGCAUAACAACUUUAAACAUAAGUUUUAAGGUUGAAAGAUGCAAUUGCAUCACUCAAAGAUGAUCCCGCGUUGUAUUAGCUAGUUGGUGAGGUAAAGGCUCACCAAGGCGAUGAUACAUAGCCGACCUGAGAGGGUGAUCGGCCACAUUGGGACUGAGACACGGCCCAAACUCCUACGGGAGGCCGCAGUAGGGAAUCUUCGGACAUGGACGAAAGUCUGACCGAGCAACGCCGCGUGAGUGAAGAAGGUUUUCGGAUCGUAAAACUCUGUUGGUAGGGAAGAACGUUGGUGAGAGUGGAACGCUCAUCAAGUGACGGUACCUAACCAGAAAGGAACGGCUAACUACGUG